This 480-nucleotide ribosomal RNA is filed under the name Cladocopium sp. clade C. Its description in RNAcentral is "bacterial LSU rRNA". Lineage: Eukaryota; Dinophyceae; Suessiales; Symbiodiniaceae. The record is from RNAcentral.
AAACAUAGAACGAUUGCGAUAGCUGUCUUGCACACACAUCAUGGUAAAAUAUUCAUCAGUACGAAUAAUAUGCUGACUAAAGUUUAUUAACACUAAAGGACAAAAAGACCCUCUGAAGCUUUAUAGGGAUAAAACUUGGGUAACAUUCUCAAUCAAAUAUUCUUAUUGCAUGCCAGCUAAAGUAGUAAAUUAUUGGUUUUCUCCUAAGACCACUGUUUAAUUGGGGCGAUAACCUUAUCAACAGCCACCUAAGGUGAACAAAGCGAUACAAGGAUCCUAAACUUUUGACCAACUAAUAAGUGCAAAGAUACAUGUUUCGCUUAAUGGCCCAACAAGUCCUUCCCAGUACUUAAAUGCUAUCUUAAUGAGCUUUAAAUUAAUUUACCCGAGUUAAGCUACUCUACGGAUAACAGGCUUAAUUUCCGCAAUAUUAAAGGUCACAUUAUCACGAAAAAUGUACCUCGAUGUCGGCUUAUCAUC